CCUACGGGUGGCAGCAGUGAGGAAUAUUGGUCAAUGGGCGUAAGCCUGAACCAGCCAAGUCGCGUGCGGGAUGACGGUUCUAUGGAUCGUAAACCUCUUUUAUACGGGGAUAAUGUGCGGUACGUGUCUCGUCUUGUAUGUACCUUAUGAAUAAGGAUCGGCUAACUCCGUGCCAGCAGCCGCGGUAAUACGGAGGAUCCGAGCGUUAUCCGGAUUUAUUGGGUUUAAAGGGUGCGUAGGCGGCCUUUUAAGUAAGCGGUGAAAAUUUGGGGCUCAACCAUGGACGUGCCUUUAAAACUGGAAGGCUAGAGAAUGUAUGCGGUAGGCGGAAUGUGUGGUGUAGCGGUGAAAUGCUUAGAGAUCAUACAGAACCCCGAUUGCGAAGGCAGCUUGCCAAGCCAUGACUGACGCUGAGGCACGAAAGCGUGGGGAUCAAACAGGAUUAGAUACCCGAGUAGUC
Molecule: ribosomal RNA, 460 nt
Filed under: uncultured bacterium
Lineage: Bacteria
Description: partial 16S ribosomal RNA
Rfam family: Bacterial small subunit ribosomal RNA
Source: RNAcentral